Molecule: ribosomal RNA, 269 nt
Filed under: uncultured prokaryote
Description: partial 16S ribosomal RNA
Rfam family: Bacterial small subunit ribosomal RNA
Source: RNAcentral
UACGGAGGAUCCUAGUGUUAUCCGGAUUUAUUGGGUUUAAAGGGAGCGUAGGCGGGAGGUCAAGUCAGCUGUGAAAUGUAUCUGCUUAACGGGUACACUGCAGUUGAAACUGGUUUUCUUGAGUGCGUAAGAGGCAGGCGGAAUUCGUUGUGUAGCGGUGAAAUGCUUAGAUAUGACGAGGAACUCCCAUUGCGAAGGCAGCUUGCUGGGUCGUUACUGACGCUGAUGCUCGAAGGUGCGGGGAUCAAACAGGAUUAGAUACCCCCGUA